GGGGUGGGGGGAACCGUUAGUCGCGCGCCGUGCGUCGCGCCGUGCGGGCGGGGGGCUUCGGCGCCAUUUUGGCGCUGAGGUGCAGGGGCGGCGCUUCGCCCAGCCAAGGCGUGGGGGCUGCUGCCGUGUGGGCGGCCCCGGCGUUUUGGGGACGGGGAGGGGAUGACGGGAGAGUGUUGUGGCGCACUGGGGGUGCCUGGGGCCAGUGAGAGGUCUGGAAGGGCCCAUGGAGCUGGCUUGGGGGCUGGUGUAGAGGUGGGGGGCAGCCGAGACGAGGUGGGAGCGCAGGAGCUCCUGGAAGGAGAUCCAAGGUGGCGUCAGGGACUGUCGGGCUGGGGCACAGAGAAGGACGAUUACAAUGAGUGGCAGUGGCUGCUGACGGUGUUUUUGUGCUGGCUUGUGCUGCGUGUUGAAGGGCAGCGAUGGCUGGGAGCAGUGAGCAGGCUGUUCUCCAGGGCCGAAGGAAAGGUGUCAAUAUAUGGCAUCAUGUACAAAGAAAGAGUCAGGGAGGAAACUUUCCCAGUGUUGAUGUCUGUAGCUGAGGUUCAGAGGCUGUGUAUAUUCAGUACAGAUCACUUAGGAGACAGUCCUGGUAUCCUGGGUAGAAUUUCCUGUCAAUGGAGUAAUUACAGUGCCGUAUUUGAGUUUCUUUUACAUAGCAGCAGAGAAUGGCCAUUGCAGUCAUCAAUAGCGCUUUUUCAUGUUAGGGAGCAAUCUCAUCACUGGGAUAUGAAAACUCUUUCAGACAAUGGCAGUAAAAAGAUGUUUGUCAUAAAUGAAAUGCACUUGGUUACCACUGAUGUGUUUUUAAUUAUCUAGAUUGAAUCUUCUAGGGAUGAUUCUGCUGAAAUAAAAUUAGCAACAUCAGUCGAAUAAACACAAGAUCUUCAGAAGAACUGUUCAUUGUAAUUAAUUUGCAAGUGUCUGGAUCCUGUUUUUAUAAUAACUUUUUAUUGGAGUCUGGUGGUUGCCUGUUUGACCUUUGGUAGAAGCCACAUAGGUGGAGAGUACAUUUUCAAGUACUCUUCAACUCUGAAGUAAAAUGAGAGGACUUUUGUACUGGCUGUACAGACAGAAACAGACAGUGUAGAAGUAGAGAAACAGGGGACCUGAAGGUAAGGACAAUGGCAAGGUCUGGUUUGUGAGGCAAUGAUGGUGAAGGAAUUCCAUUUUCCAUCCUACAAGGUAUGUUCAUUUGUGGAAGGAGAAGAGAGUGGUUCCGCUAUCUGAUACAGUAGGCAUCUGUAAAAGACAAAGAGGAGCAGAAGGAAAGCCCGAGAGCUUGGCUUUAUCAUCCCCAAAGCUGCAAAGAAUGGCUAUGUUAUCUGUGUCAGGAGACUAAUGGGGCUGAUUCACCUCUUCUUUAAAUGUGGUGUAAGUUGAUGCAACUGCUGAAAUAAACAAAAAAUUCCACCUGAUGCAUUUAUUCUGAGAGAAGACAAGCAGGUAUUUGAAGAAAAGUAGAUAAUUUAAAAAGAAAAUUUUGAGGAAUGUUUUGGUAUAGUUGUAUGAAAUAUGCUCUAACUACAAUAUGUAAUGGUUGUUAUCACUGUCAUGAUUGCAGUCAUCCUGAGAGCAGAGCAAAAAUCUUUAUAAUGGAAAGUAUCAGUGAAUGAGGAGUCUCAACUGUGCCACUGCCUCAGUAGCUCUGCUUGGGUUACUGAUGCGUGGUGUGGCACCUGCCUUUUGGACUCACUGGUAUGCACUAUUGCCUUGCACGAGAGAUACAACACGAGUUUUUCUGAAACAGGCCUGUGUGAGGGCCUGUCAGUUGAUUUAGAAACUAGCUCAUCACCUCUAAAAAUCUGGUCCUAAAUCCAGCAUUUUGAGGAAAUUUGAAUAAGUACAUUUUUCAAAAAGACCCACCAUCCUGGGAGCCUGUAUCUUUAGAGUGCAGAAAUGCUACAAAGUUUGUUCUGCAUUGGCCAAAAAAAAAAAAAAAAAAACAAAAACCCAAACCAAAACAACCCCCCCAAAAUGCUGGGAGCCAAUCACUUCCAGAAAGCUGGUUUCAGUGCAGUGGUGGAAUACUUGGAGGUCAGGCCCACAACUCCUAUAAUCCGACUUGGAUAUCCAGCGACUGUCUCUGGUUGGACGUGCAGUAGUGACAUACAGCGUCUGAUUUGAAUGCUCUAUACCACUGUUCAGUUUAGCAAAAAUCUGAAUGGCUGCAGUGAGCUCAUGUUCAUGGCAGGUGCAGCUGGCUCUUCAAAUCGGAGGAGAAAGUUUAUAACACAAAUGUUAGAGGUCUGUGUGCUAAGCACAAAAAUGCUUGGAGGGGCAGGAAGCUUUAGCAUUCAGGGAACAGUCCUAAAAUUUAGCAAGUUCCAUGAUAGUGGCAUUCCACUGGAAUUCAGAAUCAAAGGACGCUUUCAAAACAUUUGUUUUUCACCUUCUUUUUUCUUAUUUUUCCUAGUUGCAGUGGUGGAUAGUGGGGAGAAGAGGACGUGGAUAACUGCAUCACUGACCACCGCAGAACUUCUUUUGCCGUGACAUUGUAAUGGGAGGUGGAGACACCUCGAGGAGAAGGUCAAAACAGACAACAGCAAUUAUAGUCAAUAGCCUCCAUGACUUGAGAAAAUCAGGCCUCAAUUAUAUGCUUAAAUGUGAUCUGUCUGUGCCAUCUUUCCCAUGUACAGAAACCUCAGGAGGACUGUCUACCCUUCAAAAUCUGUUACAAUAUAUUUUAACUGUGUGAUAUUGGAGCCCAGCCACUCUUGGUAGGUUGCAGAAAGAGGACAUAUAAUCACAGUACAUCUUCAGAGGGCUUCCUAAAAAGAGGAAAUAAAUCAAGUCUCUUGGCAAGGACCAGGACUACAAAGAAAACAUCCAGUAGGAGGAGCUCUCUAGACAUCUCAGCUUAUCACUUUUCAAUCCCUCAUAGCUGCAUGUUUCAAGGGCAUCACUUUAGAGCUGCUUUCUUGGGACUUCCUUGCAGACAAACCAGCAGCAGCAGAAGACACAGACAAUCUCCUGGUACUGCUGCUGAGCAGCUGCAGUGAUUUUUUAAAGACUUCUCAGGUUCCUUUUUCCACAGUUGUCCAUUCAGAAACUUCAAGUGUUCAUGAAAACCUUUGGGCUUCUUUUUGGCCCAUUUGAAAUGUUUUAUCUACCAAGGAAACAAAUAUAAGAUUUUAUAGACAACAUCCUAACCACAAAGUAAAGAAUUCCAAAGUGGUGCUUGCUUUUGCGAAGAAAGAUAUCCUGCUGGAUUCCUCACAACUUCACAAGGGGACCUCUAAGCAGAGCUCUGAAAUGUAUCAGCACAACUCUGAAUAUUGGUCUUACAAAGCUAUUCAAAUAAUUCUGCCUCCUUGUAUAUAGUUCAUCUUUUUAUUCUGUGAGAAGCAGGUCUGGAGGACAGUAGUUGUGCUCUCUUGCACAGCACUAUGUUCUCCUUAGCUAGGUACAAAGUCUCACCCUGCUUCUUAGGCCCAGGCCUGCAGUCCUGAAUUGCCUGGGCCCCAUGACGAUGCCUCUGCACUGGCUCUUAAAAAUAAUUCAGAUUUUUUAAUGUGGUGGGCUCUGUGCUUUUGUAAAUCUGGCCCUCAUUUAGUUAUCUAAUUGGGAACUAGGUGCCUUCUGGUCUUGAAUGUUGUUAUAAUAAUUAUUUUGAUCCUGAAUGAGCCAGAAACUAUUCUAAUGCAUAUCAGUGUAAAUUAAAUGAAUAGAGAUUUUUCAAAUUUAUCCUAGUGUUCAGAGAAUGGAAUUCAUGCACUUCAAUUUACAGCUUAUUAAGUGAUCAGAAUUAAUGAACUCACAACAAUCUUUUCUGUUCUUGUUUACACAUUUUCUUCCUAUUCACUCAUAAUGUACAUGGCUUAGAAAAAGCAAAGAGUUGAAAAGGCAGUGUGUGGGUCAGAUAUGUCCCAUGGAGCACAGCAUUGUGCUUCAAGGCUUUAGUCACAUUUGCAAAGCGACUAUGUAGAAACUACACCUUCUGACUCAGCUGAGCAGUAGCCUGUGCAUUCUGAUUUGGAUCUGCUGACCAUGAGCAGACAGAAGCAAAGAUCUUGCUCCUUUUUAUUCCCAUUAACAUGGCGUAGGAAUGAGAGAGUGGGUUUCAAAAACAAAGCCAAGUGCUGCCCUUGGUUCCUUCUGUGCCACCAGUAAGAGAAUGUGCCCUGCAGAAUCUUUAGCACUGCUAGUGAUGUGCAGAAACCCACCUUGCUUUUCAGAACCCUGUUUCUGUUCUGGAAACUAGAAAAAUAUUUGCACUGAGGAACAGAGAUGUUCUUCAGAAUCACUGGAGAACAAUGUGUAUAGAACAACUCUUCUGUUUUUUUGAGAGUCAUUUUUCAGUGUAGUACCACAUUUCAGUCUGGAGACUGGGAAUAAUGGAAACCGUAGGAUCUGCCUUGCCUUUUAUUCUGAAAUUUAGAAGUCACAUAGAAUGACAAGAGGAAAACCUCACAUAUGAUGAGCAGUAAUCAGUGCACACAGCAACAAACCAAACAGAAAAGCUAGAAACACUUGCGUCAAUCUUUUGAAAAAAGAGCAACAUCACUGAAAAUAUUUAGAACUAUUAAGAACAGUAUUACUGAAAAUAAUGUACACCAGCCUUCUAAAGGACUGCCUCAGUAUCACCUUCAUAUGUAUUUGGCCUUCUAGUCUUAAUUAGGUAUUUGAUGUUUAAACUACACUCAAGGUACCAACUGAAGGUUUAUCUCACUGUGGUUUUUCAUAAUCUUCUUGGUCCGGCUCAAGGUUGAAAUGAUGAAAGGAUCCCAUUGAUUUUUGUGGUGUUUAAGGCUAAACUUGUGGGACUGGAUGCUCAUCUGAACAUCAUUUCUCUCUGACUUCAUGGCACAUGACAACUUUUCAAUGCUCCAUCUGAUCAGCUGCAAAAUUUCAGAGACUUCCUAUUAUUAGUGGGAGAGAACACCACUAAUUUGUGAAAAGAAUAGAGAAACAAAAAGGGAAAAAUGGGGGAGAGGCAAUAAUUUAGAUAUAGCUGCAUCUCGAGAUCAAGAAACUGGAUGAUAGCACUCAUAUGUGUCCCUAGCAUACCAAUACCUUUAUCUCAUCUCUGCCUAUCACUCCAGUGAAGUUUAUCAUGUGAGCACACUGAAAGACCUGUCGCCAGAUAAAUAAUAUGGGGCUUGUGUGCAACCUUUGCAGAGCUGGAAGAGACUGAAUAUCCAGAAUUAGGAGGAAGAGGGAUGGGGGCACACAGCAACCCUGGUGUGAGGGAAUUGAGGGUACCUCAGUAGGGCGAUAGUGUAGGGGUGCAGAAACCCUGAUGGUGACAUUUAAAGGACUCUUUUACAUGGAAGGGCACAUUCAGGGAAAAGGGGUAGGUGGGACUCAGAGUUGCUAUUGUAGGAGAGAAAGAGGGAUUCCCAAAGAGGAAAAUGAGUGGAGCAAAAGGAUUCCUGAAGAGGAAAGGGUUGGAACCUGGUGACUCCUACACAGAUGGCUUGGGGGCACAUGCAGAGCCCCAGGCACGAGAGUGGGGCUGAGAGAGGUGUUUGGAAAGGUGGCAUAUGAGGCAUUUGUGAAGGAGGGCUUAUGGAGUAAACCACUGCAUGAGAGAGCUAAAUCUCUAAAGGAACUGUUGUCAAUAGUGAACUUCGCUGAAGAAAUGAGAACUAGAGUGUGGGCCAGGCAUCUCACACUGACCAGAAACUCUGACAAAGUGGGAGUGAGAGAUGCCAAGGCCUAUAUAAAUUAGGCUUUCUACAUUUUACCAGCAAAUGAGAAGGGUUGUUUCAAUCCCUAUGUGCUGGUGGUGGCUGAUGCAGGGCUUAUUGAAAACUGGAGAAACUGGUUAGUAACUCAGGCAGGCCAGAGUGGCUGGACAGAGCUCAGAGCAGAGCUACACAAACAGCUGACUGUGAUCCUCGUCCUUGCAGAGCACCUGAACUGCCUGUAUGGCUGCUCCUGUCCGGGGGGCUGGGGAGGUGGUAUAUCACGGUGGCUGCUGUGCAAUCCUGCUGCUAUGCAGAGGCGGGUAGUCUCCGGAAAUUGAUGUGCUGCAAGUUCAUAGGUUUGUUUACCUAUUUUUGCUUAUGUGCCUGCAAUACUGGCACUAAGACAUGAGAGAGACCCGCAGAGGAAGGAGUAGUGAAGUGAUACUGGAGCCACUCUGAGGGUUACUCCAGGUUCCUGAAAAGAAGGUAGGGAAGAAGAGGAAGGUAGAGCAUGCUGGAUGUACAGGAGUCAGCUUUAAGUACGACUGACUUAAAUUUCUAGUUGAAAACAAGCAAGCCCUAGUAUAUAUUUCAAGUACUGCUCUAUUUUCUGAAGUUGUUUCCUUUUUCUCUUCUUUCCUUCUUAGUAUCAGGUAUUAGAGCAGCCCACAAGACAAUAAUUGAACAACACUGCUACAAUUUCCAAGUUCUGUUUCUUUAAGAAGUUCAGAAAACUUGUCACAAUACCCCAAGAAAGCUCUUUCUGCUGUGCUGUUUAAUCCAAAGUAGUUUAUAUCAGAUUUAUGUUCUGGCAGCUCUGUGAUAAGCUUGGACUCUACCACAUUAUAAACAUAAAAAAUUACUUAAAACCAUUGUUACUAAAUUUAAAGCACUGUUUUGUUUCAUGAAGUCCUGUCCCCUUGUAUGAGGGUUGUGGUCUCCAUGGUUCUGCACCUCAUACAUUUACAAACUUGGGCAACCUGGGAUGAAGACACCUCUACCAGUGACAGCUUAAUAUUUUGGUAGAUUUAACAUCUUCUCUGUGCUUAAACUGUGCAUGUCUAAAAUACAGCAGAAGAUGUAAAGCACUGAAGAAUUCAAUGAUGUUUGGUGUUUAGAUAGACCAAAGAGUCCUUGAUAUUUAAAUGCUAGGUUUGGCCUCUCUCAUGUAAGUUACCUUAAACCUGAUGUCUAGAUUCAUAAGGCUUCCCUGAAACCUUGGCAAAAUAUGAGUCUUAUCAUUAAAGAAUUCAUCUUGAAAUUACUUGUCUUGAAAAGGUUAUAUAUGACUUGCAUGGGACCAUGCAACCUGGUCUCUUUUUGAGUUUCUGUACUCAUCACCAUCACCGUCUGUUUUAAGUGUUCAAUAUUUGG
Long non-coding RNA from Dromaius novaehollandiae (emu), 7007 nucleotides. RefSeq lists it as uncharacterized. The transcript is spliced from 5 exons. The record is from RefSeq and is a predicted model, not a curated record. Lineage: Eukaryota; Metazoa; Chordata; Aves; Casuariiformes; Dromaiidae.